Molecule: non-coding RNA, 110 nt
Organism: Acanthosepion pharaonis
Lineage: Eukaryota; Metazoa; Mollusca; Cephalopoda; Sepiida; Sepiidae
Source: the annotation of a GenBank genome assembly
UUACGGUCAUGCCACAUUGAAACACCGUUUCCCCUAUGAUCGCCGAAGUUAAGCCACCUCGAGACAGGUUAGUACCUAGAUAGGUAACCGCUUGGGAAUGUCAGGUGCUA